GCCUAAAGGGGCCGUAGCUUGAUAAUAGGGUCCCUUGAGAAAUCCGCCGGCUUAACUGGCGGGCGUUCAGGGGAAACUUGUUUUCUAGGGACCGGGAGAGGUGAGGGGUACUGCCGGGGUAGGAGUGAAAUCCUGUAAUCCCGGUGGGGCCACCUAUGGCGAAGGCAUCUCACCAGAACGGGUCCGACAGUGAGGGACGAAAGCUGGGGGAGCAAACCGGAUUAGAUACCCGGGUAGUCCCAGCUGUAAACUAUGUGCGUUAGGUGUGUCAGUGACCACGUGUCACUGAGGUGCCGAAGGGAAACCGUGAAACGCACCGCCUGGGGAGUACGGUCGCAAGGCUGAAACUUAAAGGAAUUGGCGGGGGAGCACCACAACGGGUGGAGCCUGCGGUUUAAUCGGACUCAACGCCGGGAAUCUCACCGGAUAAGACAGUUGAAUGAUAGUCGGGAUGAAGACUCUACUUGACUAGCUGAGAGGAGGUGCAUGGCCGUCGUCAGUUCGUACUGUGAAGCAUCCUGUUUAGUCAGGCAACGAGCGAGACCCACGCGAGCAGUUGCCAGCUUGACCUUCGGGUUGAUGGGGACACUGCUCGGACCGCCUCUGCUGAAGGGGAGGAAGGACUGGGCAACGGUAGGUCAGCAUGCCCCGAAUUAUCCGGGCUACACGCGGGCUACAAUGGACAGGACAAUGAGUUUCGACACCGAGAGGUGAGGAUAAUCUUCUAACCCUGUCCCAAGUUCGGAUUGCGGGUUGUAACUCACCCGCAUGAAGCUGGAAUCCGUAGUAAUCGCGUUUCAACAUACCGCGGUGAAUAUGUCCCUGCUCCUUGCACACACCGCCCG
This 845-nucleotide ribosomal RNA is filed under the name uncultured prokaryote. Its description in RNAcentral is "bacterial SSU rRNA". It matches the Rfam family "Archaeal small subunit ribosomal RNA", at positions 508 to 1352 of the family's 1478-position model. The record is from RNAcentral.